Molecule: non-coding RNA, 29 nt
Filed under: Bombyx mori (domestic silkworm)
Lineage: Eukaryota; Metazoa; Arthropoda; Insecta; Lepidoptera; Bombycidae
Source: RNAcentral
UCGUUUCCAACCAAGACUGCGUAGACCGA